CAGGACGAACGCUGGCGGCGUGCCUAAUACAUGCAAGUCGAACGGUCUUUCUAUGGAAGCUUGCUUCCAUAGAGAAGAUAGUGGCGAACGGGUGAGUAACACGUGGGUAACCUGCCCAUAAGAGGGGGGAUAACAUCCGGAAACGGGUGCUAAUACCGCAUAGUUUUCUUGAUCGCAUGAUUGAGAAAGGAAAGACGGCCUUUGUGCUGUCGCUUAUGGAUGGACCCGCGGCGUAUUAGUUAGUUGGUGAGGUAACGGCUCACCAAGACGAUGAUACGUAGCCGACCUGAGAGGGUGAUCGGCCACAUUGGGACUGAGACACGGCCCAAACUCCUACGGGAGGCAGCAGUAGGGAAUCUUCCGCAAUGGACGAAAGUCUGACGGAGCAACGCCGCGUGAGUGAAGAAGGUUUUCGGAAUCGUAAAACUCUGUUGUCAGAGAAGAACAAGUUGGAGAGUAACUGCUCCAGCCUUGACGGUAUCUGACCAGAAAGCCACGGCUAACUACGUGCCAGCAGCAGC
Molecule: ribosomal RNA, 521 nt
Filed under: uncultured bacterium
Lineage: Bacteria
Description: bacterial SSU rRNA
Rfam family: Bacterial small subunit ribosomal RNA
Source: RNAcentral